This 361-nucleotide unclassified non-coding RNA is filed under the name uncultured Actinomycetes bacterium. RNAcentral describes it as "uncultured actinobacterium contains 16S-23S intergenic spacer region". Lineage: Bacteria; Bacillati; Actinomycetota; Actinomycetes. The record is from RNAcentral.
UCCGGGUUGGUCCCGGCGGUCCGGCCAGACGUGGUAACUGGCCGCGGGGGUUGCGCUCGUUGCGGGACUUAACCCGACAUCUCACGACACGAGCUGACGACAGCCAUGCAGCACCUGUGGUGCACCCUCGAAGGUCACACGUUUCCGUGCGCUUGCAGCACCAUGUCAAGCCAGGUAAGGUUCUUCGCGUUGCAUCGAAUUAAUCCGCAUGCUCCGCCGCUUGUGCGGGGCCCCGUCAAUUCCUUUGAGUUUUAGCCUUGCGGCCGUACUCCCCAGGCGGGGCGCUUAAUGCGUUUGCUGCGGCACGGAACUCGUGGAAUGAGCCCCACACCUAGCGCCCAACGUUUACGGCAUGGACUAC